UUCCUUUUGACGCUCGUCGGGAAGUAAUGCGCCAAGAGAAGUUCCUUGAAGCUCGUCCAAGUAAUAGCUGCCAAGUCAGUGUUGGGGUGCUCCUGGAGAUCCAACCACCAGCGGUAGGCCUCGCCGUCCAAGUGGUGAGUGGCGAGCCAAACUCGAUCCCUCUCCUCCACGAAGGUGUCGCGGAAGAGCUUCUCCAUAUGCAUCAACCACUUCUCCACGAUCCAGUAGUCGAC
RNAcentral lists this long non-coding RNA (233 nucleotides) under Ananas comosus (pineapple). RNAcentral describes it as "long non-coding RNA (ACOM_LNC029339)". The record is from RNAcentral. Lineage: Eukaryota; Viridiplantae; Streptophyta; Magnoliopsida; Poales; Bromeliaceae.